GGCCUUGCGCGAAUGGAGCGGCCGAUGGCAGAUUAGGUAGUUGGUGGGGUAAAGGCUCACCAAGCCUUCGAUCUGUAGCUGGUCUGAGAGGACGACCAGCCACACUGGGACUGAGACACGGCCCAGACUCCUACGGGAGGCAGCAGUGGGGAAUUUUGGACAAUGGGCGCAAGCCUGAUCCAGCCAUGCCGCGUGCAGGAUGAAGGCCUUCGGGUUGUAAACUGCUUUUGUACGGAACGAAAAGGCUCUUUCUAAUAAAGGGGGCUCAUGACGGUACCGUAAGAAUAAGCACCGGCUAACUACGUGCCAGCAGCCGCGGUAAUACGUAGGGUGCAAGCGUUAAUCGGAAUUACUGGGCGUAAAGCGUGCGCAGGCGGUGAUGUAAGACAGUUGUGAAAUCCCCGGGCUCAACCUGGGAACUGCAUCUGUGACUGCAUCGCUGGAGUGCGGCAGAGGGGGAUGGAAUUCCGCGUGUAGCAGUGAAAUGCGUAGAUAUGCGGAGGAACACCGAUGGCGAAGGCAAUCCCCUGGGCCUGCACUGACGCUCAUGCACGAAAGCGUGGGGAGCAAACAGGAUUAGAUACCCUGGUAGUCCACGCCCUAAACGAUGUCAACUGGUUGUUGGGUCUUCACUGACUCAGUAACGAAGCUAACGCGUGAAGUUGACCGCCUGGGGAGUACGGCCGCAAGGUUGAAACUCAGAGGAAUUGACGGGGACCCGCACAAGCGGUGGAUGAUGUGGUUUAAUUCGAUGCAACGCGAAAAACCUUACCCACCUUUGACAUGUACGGAAUUUGCCAGAGAUGGCUUAGUGCUCGAAAGAGAGCCGUAACACAGGUGCUGCAUGGCUGUCGUCAGCUCGUGUCGUGAGAUGUUGGGUUAAGUCCCGCAACGAGCGCAACCCUUGUCAUUAGUUGCUACAUUUAGUUGGGCACUCUAAUGAGACUGCCGGUGACAAACCGGAGGAAGGUGGGGAUGACGUCAAGUCCUCAUGGCCCUUAUAGGUGGGGCUACACACGUCAUACAAUGGCUGGUACAAAGGGUUGCCAACCCGCGAGGGGGAGCUAAUCCCAUAAAGCCAGUCGUAGUCCGGAUCGCAGUCUGCAACUCGACUGCGUGAAGUCGGAAUCGCUAGUAAUCGUGGAUCAGAAUGUCACGGUGAAUACGUUCCCGGGUCUUGUACACACCGCCCGUCACACCAUGGGAGCGGGUUCUGCCAGAAGUAGUUAGCCUAACCGCAAGGAGGGCGAUUACCGCGGCAGGGUUCGUGACUGGGGUGAAGUCGUAACAAGGUA
RNAcentral lists this ribosomal RNA (1295 nucleotides) under metagenome. Its description in RNAcentral is "bacterial SSU rRNA". It matches the Rfam family "Bacterial small subunit ribosomal RNA", at positions 209 to 1498 of the family's 1533-position model. The record is from RNAcentral.